RNAcentral lists this ribosomal RNA (441 nucleotides) under uncultured bacterium. RNAcentral's name for it is "partial 16S ribosomal RNA". It matches the Rfam family "Bacterial small subunit ribosomal RNA", at positions 339 to 795 of the family's 1533-position model. The record is from RNAcentral.
CUACGGGUCGCUGCAGUGAGGAAUAUUGCACAAUGGGGGGAACCCUGAUGCAGCAACGCCGCGUGGAGGAUGACGCAUUUCGGUGUGUAAACUCCUUUUAUAUGUCAAGAAAAUGACGGUAGCAUAUGAAUAAGCACCGGCUAACUCCGUGCCAGCAGCCGCGGUAAUACGGAGGGUGUCAAGCGUUACUCGGAAUCACUGGGCGUGAAAGGACGCGUAGGCGGGUUGGAAAGUCAGGUGUGAAAUCCUACAGCUUAACUGUAGAACUGCACUUGAAACUUCUAAUCUAGAGUAUGGGAGGGGGAGAUGGAAUUAGUGGUGUAGGGGUAAAAUCCGUAGAUAUCACUAGGAAUACCUAAAGCGAAGGCGAUCUCCUGGAACAUUACUGACGCUAAGGCGUGAAAGCGUGGGGAGCAAACAGGAUUAGAUACCCCAGUAGUC